RNAcentral lists this small RNA (105 nucleotides) under Marmota monax (woodchuck). Lineage: Eukaryota; Metazoa; Chordata; Mammalia; Rodentia; Sciuridae. The record is from RNAcentral.
GCUGGGCGUGGUGGUGGACUCCUGUAAUCCAAGCUACUCGGGAGGCUUUGGUAGGAGGAUCACAAGUUCAAGGCUAAUCUCAGAAACUUAGCGAGACCCUGUCUC